This 253-nucleotide ribosomal RNA is filed under the name uncultured bacterium. RNAcentral's name for it is "partial 16S ribosomal RNA". It matches the Rfam family "Bacterial small subunit ribosomal RNA", at positions 524 to 776 of the family's 1533-position model. The record is from RNAcentral.
UACGUAGGGCGCGAGCGUUGUCCGGAAUUAUUGGGCGUAAAGAGCUCGUAGGCGGCUUGUCACGUCGGGUGUGAAAGACCGGGGCUUAACUCCGGUUCUGCAUUCGAUACGGGCUAGCUAGAGUGUGGUAGGGGAGAUCGGAAUUCCUGGUGUAGCGGUGAAAUGCGCAGAUAUCAGGAGGAACACCGGUGGCGAAGGCGGAUCUCUGGGCCAUUACUGACGCUCAUGCACGAAAGCGUGGGGAGCAAACAGG